Molecule: non-coding RNA, 219 nt
Organism: Pelobates cultripes (western spadefoot toad)
Lineage: Eukaryota; Metazoa; Chordata; Amphibia; Anura; Pelobatidae
Source: the annotation of a GenBank genome assembly
AUAUCCUCACAUUCUAUACAUCGUUCAAAAGCCUGUGACCGAGUGCCCAUAUUGUCCAAAAAGUGCUAUGAUCAGUAAAUCCGCUCCAGAGGGAGGAGCUGGUAAAGUUUUACCAGGUCACGGCUAUUUUCCGAUCCACUUUAGACUUCCAGCCAUUUGGCUGUUUUUCCCGGUCUUACAAAGCAGGGUUCCUGGGACUUCAGGGAGGCCGGUACCCCU